UCUCUAGAUACACCACUCAGAAUUCACCUGGUCUUGUCUAAUGUCGGAAGCUAAGCAGAGUUGGGCUUUGUUAGUUUUUGGAUGGGGAGAAAAGGACAUGAGAA
RNAcentral lists this ribosomal RNA (104 nucleotides) under Echinops telfairi (small Madagascar hedgehog). The record is from RNAcentral. Lineage: Eukaryota; Metazoa; Chordata; Mammalia; Afrosoricida; Tenrecidae.